ACGCGCCCCAAAGCCUGCCACAAUGAGCACGAAUGAAGAUAAAAUCGAGGGGGAAAAGGGGCGCCUGGGUGGCAUUAAAAGCAUAAUUUGCAGAGGGUGAGGGGGGAGGUAAGGCUGGGCUCAAUCUGGUGCAGUAAUGAGCUGUAGAGCCGGGUGUCCUUGGUGGUGCAUUGACCCUGCUGGGGUGUCUUCCUUGGAAAUGGCAAGGACAGGGGUGUGAGCUUUAAGAAGCUUUUCUACCUUCACACUCGGUUAUCUCCGAGAAGCGAGCGAGCCCGGGAGAGAGGCUGAGGUUGGAGCCGGUCUCGGCCACGGCGCGGCGGAGGGAGGAGGACCCCAGGGCGUCUCGACCGGCAGGACUGAGUUGCAGUGAUUGCGCUUGGGGAGUCUCGCAGGAUUUUGAGAUUGCAAGAACAAAGAUGCCCUUUUGAUGCUCUGCUGCAGCACUGGAGAUAAUGAAAGGGAGAGGAGCCUCGAUAAGGAUGAAAGAUAUCUUCCCUCGGCUUCCCCGCGCGGAUAAAGCACUUCCCAGAUGAAGAGGAUUUGGACUAAAAAGCAGCGCAAGAGUAAAACAAAGUAAACAGGGACCAGCGUUGCCGCGUUGACGUGGUCUCCUUCAGCUGGGCUUUGGGGUAAUGCCCCCGGCUGGGGUGGUCUGAGGGCACCCGUGGGAUGCUCGCGCAGCUCUGCUGGGCUGGAGGAGGAGGAGAAGGACAGCAGAUCCU
RNAcentral lists this long non-coding RNA (725 nucleotides) under Struthio camelus australis. Its description in RNAcentral is "lncRNA (ENSSCUG00000001872.1)". The record is from RNAcentral. Lineage: Eukaryota; Metazoa; Chordata; Aves; Struthioniformes; Struthionidae.